RNAcentral lists this transfer RNA (76 nucleotides) under Planctomycetaceae bacterium. RNAcentral describes it as "tRNA-His". It matches the Rfam family "tRNA". From Rfam's summary of the family: Transfer RNA (tRNA) molecules are approximately 80 nucleotides in length. The record is from RNAcentral. Lineage: Bacteria; Pseudomonadati; Planctomycetota; Planctomycetia; Planctomycetales; Planctomycetaceae.
GUGUCCGUAGUGUACGCGGUAUGCAUACCUGCCCGUGAAGCAGGAGGCAUGGGUUCAACUCCCAUCGGUCACCCCU